Molecule: ribosomal RNA, 474 nt
Filed under: uncultured bacterium
Lineage: Bacteria
Description: partial 16S ribosomal RNA
Rfam family: Bacterial small subunit ribosomal RNA
Source: RNAcentral
GACGAACGCUGGCGGCGUGCUUAACACAUGCAAGUCGAGCGGUAAGGCUCCGUCGUUAGUACACGAGCGGCGAACGGGGGAGUAACACGUGAGUAAUCUUCCCUUCACUUCGGGAUAACCACCGCAAACGGUGGCCAAUACCGAAUACGACCAGUCUUCUCAUCAGGUGCGUGUGGAAAGUCUUUUCGGUUUAGGAUGUGCUCGGCGCCUAUCACCUUGUUGGUGGGGUAAUGGCCUACCAAGGCUUCGACGGGUAGCCGGCCUGCGAGGGUGACCGGACACACUGGGACUGAGACCCCGCACAGACGCCAGCGGGAGGCAGCAGUGGGGAAUAUUGGACAGUGGGAGAAAGCCUGAUCGCGCAAGGCAGCGUGAGGGAUGACGGGUUUCGGGUUGUAAUCCUCGUAGAGUAAAGACGAAGGGCACUGUCGGGUGGUGACGGUAGGUAAAGCAGAAGGACCGGCCAAAUACGUG